This 492-nucleotide ribosomal RNA is filed under the name uncultured bacterium. RNAcentral's name for it is "partial 16S ribosomal RNA". It matches the Rfam family "Bacterial small subunit ribosomal RNA", at positions 29 to 507 of the family's 1533-position model. The record is from RNAcentral.
AGUGAACGCUGGCGGUAGGCCUAACACAUGCAAGUCGAACGGCAGCACAGUAAGAGCUUGCUCUUACGGGUGGCGAGUGGCGGACGGGUGAGGAAUACAUCGGAAUCUACUUUUUCGUGGGGGAUAACGUAGGGAAACUUACGCUAAUACCGCAUACGACCUACGGGUGAAAGCAGGGGAUCUUCGGACCUUGCGCGAUUGAAUGAGCCGAUGUCGGAUUAGCUAGUUGGCGGGGUAAAGGCCCACCAAGGCGACGAUCCGUAGCUGGUCUGAGAGGAUGAUCAGCCACCCUGGAACGGAGCCACGGUCCAGACUCCUAAGGGAGGCAGCAGUGGGGAAUAUUGGACAAUGGGCGCAAGCCUGAUCCAGCCAUACCGCGUGGGUGAAGAAGGCCUUCGGGUUGUAAAGCCCUUUUGUUGGGAAAGAAAAGCAGCAGGUUAAUACCCCGCUGUUCUGACGGUACCCAAAGAAUAAGCACCGGCUAACUUCGUG